AAAAUUAUUCUGAAGUUUGUUGAAGUCUGGGUAAAAAUGAAAUUGGAAAGAAAACAAAAACAAGUUGAGGGAGUGAACCAGGAGCAAUGUUUUACUUGAAACUGUUACUUCGUAUCUGGUUACUGAACUAAGAACAUGUUAAUUCGUGUUUUCGUCUUAUAUGUUGAAGUGUUCAGAUUUCUAUACUAAGGACUGAAAAGCUGACGAAUGGUAAAUAUUGGUCAUGAAGUAUUUUGAAGAAAACUUUGAAUUAUUGAUUGUGAUCGGAUGAAUCAAUUUUUGGUUGUGAAUUUUUGCAAUGCCCAAAAACAUGUUGUGUGGUAAGUCAUGAACACGUUCAAAAUAAAUUAUUAUUGCUUCUAUAUUUUCAAUGCAAUCUGGGAGUGAGGGCUAAACUUGUAACGGAAAAAUAAACCGAAAAAAUAAAAUUUUACAUAGCGAUUUUAAGUGAGUACAAUUCUUUGUAAUGCCAAAUAUGGUGCAAGUGGUUGUGAUAUCAGAAACAAAUUUUGGGGUGCAUGUGGCUCAAUGUAACCCGCUGUAACGUAAAGGAACUAGACUGAUGGGUGAAAAAACCCAAAUGUGUGGUUCAAAGGAAAAUAGAGAAUGGAAAGUUAUAAAAACAAGCUUAUUUAUAGCAAUACUAAUACUUGUCAGAUGUGACUGUAAUGAAUGUUUUUCGUUGGAAGUGUGAAAUUUAUUUUCCGUUAAAUGUGAAAUUUGAAUAAUCAAUGUCUCGAGUUUCAGUGUUUUUCCAGUUGUCGGUUAUGACUAAAAUGAAUGCGAAGAAUGGAGUCACCUUGGUCAUCUGUAAAAAUGGACCUCAAGAAAUAUGUGUCUACAAAUGUUACCGAAAAAUACUACUGAAAGGACAUCUUACAUGAGUUUUUGGUGUUUGGGAAUUCUUAUGAGGCAAGUAAAAGAGUAAAUAUGGAGGAAGACAAAGGUUGAGUACCCUAGAGAGUCGAGAUUUUAAGCCAUUGGCACUGGUUCUGGACAGAUAAACAACAGUGAGCGGAUGGACUUGUAUGACUUUGUUUGAAUACCGAAAUGAACGUAAUGAAACUGAAAUCUUUAAUCAUAAAGUGGAUGUUGGAGUUUGUAUUUGACGAAUGGACAAGCGUAAAAUUUGGAGGAAGAAACAAUCGUAACGUAUAACAAAGUUAUGAUGCGUUUGAAUGCUGUUUUUCUGUUUACGAAUUCAUUCAAUUUUUGCAAAGGACUUUGAAAUGUGG
Long non-coding RNA from Thrips palmi, 1235 nucleotides. RefSeq lists it as uncharacterized. The transcript is spliced from 2 exons. The record is from RefSeq and is a predicted model, not a curated record. NCBI's taxonomy places the organism in Eukaryota, Metazoa, Arthropoda, Insecta, Thysanoptera, Thripidae.